This is a long non-coding RNA of Capsicum annuum, 720 nucleotides long. RefSeq lists it as uncharacterized. The transcript is spliced from 3 exons. The record is from RefSeq and is a predicted model, not a curated record. Lineage: Eukaryota; Viridiplantae; Streptophyta; Magnoliopsida; Solanales; Solanaceae.
UUAGAAUUAAUUAGGAGUUGUUAGAAAAAGAAAAAAAAAGUGAACAAAAAUAAAAGAAUUGAAAAGAUAAAAUAAAAAGAGAAAAAUAUGAAAAUCAGUGGCUGCCAUAACUUUAUGAGUGAGAAAUACACACUUUUCAUGCAUAAACACCCUUAGACAGUCUCAACCAUGUUAAAGUUUUCCGGGUUGCAAACUCCACUUCUUUAGCUGCUAUGUGAUGACUAUCACCUUCUUCAGUUUCAAGUUUAGCUAAGUCAAUGGGUCCUUUAAUCGAGCCUCAUCUUGUUCCUUUUACUCAGAUCGAUGGAUUGAACUUCAAUCGAGGUACAAUCUGCUUCAAAUGGGAAGGAAUUAACACCAACUACUGUACUUGCCGCUGUGGGGAUAUUUGUACCCGUCUUACGCCAGGCUCACAUCAGGUGUGUCUUAUCUCCUUGGCUGAUGUGAAAAGACCCGGAUAUCCAGUCUUUAGUGGAUAAUUUGCUUGCCUCUCCACCUUUCCCAUGCUCUUUAUUUGUAAUUUUUUCUAUUGAUACUGAUGUAAUAAGAUUCUUUUUUGCAUUACUACUCUCUUUUUCUUCUUCUUCAUUUUUUAAAGCUCCAAAGGAGUUGUCACUGCAUAUGUCCUUUUCAGGUGAUGUUGCUUUUUCACUUAGAUUUCCUUUGUUGAUGAACCUUCUCCGAGUGGGAUACUAUUGCUUCUUGUGGUGACCAUGUCUA